Molecule: ribosomal RNA, 468 nt
Filed under: uncultured bacterium
Lineage: Bacteria
Description: partial 16S ribosomal RNA
Rfam family: Bacterial small subunit ribosomal RNA
Source: RNAcentral
GACGAACGCUGGCGGCGUGCUUAACACAUGCAAGUCGAACGGAAAGGCCCUGCAUUUGUGGGGUGCUCGAGUGGCGAACGGGUGAGUAACACGUGAGUAACCUGCCCUUGACUUUGGGAUAACUUCAGGAAACUGGGGCUAAUACCGGAUAGGAGCUCCUGCUGCAUGGUGGGGGUUGGAAAGUUUCGGCGGUUGGGGAUGGACGCGCGGCUUAUCAGCUUGUUGGUGGGGUAGUGGCUUACCAAGGCUUUGACGGGUAGCCGGCCUGAGAGGGUGACCGGCCACAUUGGGACUGAGAGACGGCGCAGACUCCUACGGGGGGCAGCAGUGGGGAAUAUUGCACAAUGGGGGGAAGCCUGAGGCAGCAACGCCGCGUGCGGGAUGACGGCCUUCGGGUUGUAAACCGAGUUCGCCUGUGACGAAGAGUGAGUGACGGUAAUGGGUAAAGAAGCACCGGCUAACUACGUG